UACGUAGGUGGCGAGCGUUGUCCGGAAUUAUUGGGCGUAAAGAGCGUGUAGGUGGGAUAGUAAGUCUUAUGUAAAAGUGCGGGGCUCAACCCCGUAAAGCGUGAGAAACUGCUAUUCUUGAGUGCCGGAGAGGAAAGCGGAAUUCCCAGUGUAGCGGUGAAAUGCGUAGAUAUUGGGAGGAACACCAGUGGCGAAGGCGGCUUUCUGGACGGUGUCUGACACUGAGGCGCGAAAGCUAGGGGAGCGAACGGG
RNAcentral lists this ribosomal RNA (252 nucleotides) under uncultured bacterium. RNAcentral's name for it is "partial 16S ribosomal RNA". It matches the Rfam family "Bacterial small subunit ribosomal RNA", at positions 524 to 776 of the family's 1533-position model. The record is from RNAcentral.